GAGACCCACGCCAACAGUUGCCAGCACGUUCUCCGGAAUGGUGGGGACACUGUUGGGACCGCCUCUGCUAAAGAGGAGGAAGGAAUGGGCAACGGUAGGUCAGCAUGCCCCGAAUUACCCGGGCUACACGCGGGCUACAAUGGACAGGACAAUGGGAAUCGACACCGAGAGGUGAAGGCAAUCCCCUAAACCUGCCCUUAGUUCGGAUUGUGGGCUGCAACUCGCCCACAUGAAGCUGGAAUCCGUAGUAAUCGCGGAUCAACAUUCCGCGGUGAAUAC
This 279-nucleotide ribosomal RNA is filed under the name uncultured archaeon. RNAcentral describes it as "partial 16S rRNA". It matches the Rfam family "Archaeal small subunit ribosomal RNA", at positions 1047 to 1325 of the family's 1478-position model. The record is from RNAcentral.